RNAcentral lists this long non-coding RNA (668 nucleotides) under Mus spicilegus (steppe mouse). RNAcentral's name for it is "lncRNA (ENSMSIG00000017275.1)". The record is from RNAcentral. Lineage: Eukaryota; Metazoa; Chordata; Mammalia; Rodentia; Muridae.
CCAGAUUUGCACAGCAGGUCCAAGAUCCUGGCUUCAGGCAGCAGCUCGCUGCUCAGUCUUAUAUCACACAAAAGAGCUUUGCCCAGGCGCGUCGCCCGCUCUUUUCAUCCAAUCAUCUCCUGACAGGCAGUCUGGAAAGAAAGCGUACUCAUAUUGAUUCCGAAGGCACAAUUGGAACUCCGGCAUUUUCUUCUGGGCUCUGGGGUCGAGACGAAGGGGUUGGCAGUGCUGGCUGGGAAGCAAAGGAACAGCAGACACACAGGAGCUGAAGUGACAGUAAAUGAAGCUGCGGUCUUCAGGCUUAGGUGGAGUCGGGCGUUCUGCGCAUCUGUACCUCUGACAAAUGGAUUUGGUCCUCAGUUCCAGCCAUCAUCUGAUUUCAAGUUUGGUUACCUAGGAAACAGAGGGCACACUGCUGGGACAGUCAGCCCGUGUUCUGUGCCGACCAAAGCUAUUAAAACCCAUCAAGUCAGCCUCGGAGAAGCUGAGCACGGACAGUUUCAACUUCCAGCCAGCCCUGUCCUUUGCAAACGAAGAGAAGAUGAGCAGAAACUUAAAGCUGUCAGACUUGGUUACCUGCUACCAGCUCCGCCGCAGACCAGGUAGGCGAGUCAGAGACUAAUAGGAGGCUUGUCAUGGGUAUUUUCUGUAUUAGCUCUGUGCCUCCU